Molecule: non-coding RNA, 2395 nt
Filed under: Cryptosporidium parvum
Lineage: Eukaryota; Apicomplexa; Conoidasida; Eucoccidiorida; Cryptosporidiidae
Source: RNAcentral
UGCUAUUAAUUCCAGUAUUUGGUUUUGGUUCUUUUUGGGAUGCUAGUUUCUCUUCUUCUAGUCUAAUUCUAUCUUGCUCCUGUUUAAGCUUGAUUUGUUCUUCAAUGUAUGGAGCUAAAAUAUUGGUCACAUUUUUAAUCAGAGUCAAAGAUAUUUCCAUAAUUUCGGGUUGGCCUUCCAUAAAGCCAUUAGCAGAAACACUUGGGAGAAUUUGUUGAGUAAUUAUAGUUGGAGAGUAAAAGUGAAUGGUAGAUAGAAGAGCCUGAAUGGCAGCCUUUCUGCAAAUGGGGAAAGGGUCCUUAAUCGUUGAAAGGUAUACCUUAUUUAAAAUUGUCGCAUGGUAUUGCUCUGGUAAGACAUUCAUUAAUUUAGCAAAGCAAAUAACAGUGUUGCUUCUAAUAAUGACUUCGGGGUCUUUUGAAAGAACAAACAUUGCACACACAAGCUUAUCAACAGCUAUUUGAGAUCCACUAUUCCCUCCAAAAGCAUUUAAUAGGGCAGCACUAUUCUUUUUCCAACCCUCCUUUAUGGAGUACAUAAAAUCAUUGGAUGUAUUUGACUUGGAGUUUUGGUUUUUCAAGGUUUGGCCAUCAUCCUCAAUAGAACAGCUUUUCUCAGUAUCUUCCUUAAGAAGAAUAGGAAUAAUUACAAUCAUGCUUUGAAGAGUUGUUUCUCUUAUCACAUUAGUGGUAUCUUGAAACCCAACUAAGAUGGACUCAAUGCAGCUCUGGAAAAUCUCUUUCAAAAGAAACCUUUCAUAUUUUGAAAUAUUCUUAAGUAAAGUAUAUCUAAUGGAUCUAUCAUUUUGACAGAGAAGAAAUUUUGUUACUGUGUAGAAUGACCUCAAAAUAAAUUUCGGGCAUGUUGUAACAUCUUUAAAAGGCUCCAUCAAGGUUAAUACUAAAGGGAAUACGCUCGGGGUGCACUGACUAAAGUUUAUUAAAAGCUUUUCAAGAAUCCUUUGGAUAAUAAUAAUGUUGGUAGAGCUAUCUCCAUGCACUUUAAUACUAGUAAGUAAAUGUGGAAGGUACUGAGUACAAAAAAUUUGUUUGUCUUCUGGAGACUUCAACAUAAAAUCAUUUAAUUGGUUCAUAAGCUCUACAAAAGGUGAGUUAUUAUUAAUUAAACUUAGACCAUUUUCUAUAUCAAUUUCUCUAUUUGUAUUCAUACAAGUUAACAAUUCACUUAACCAGUCAUGAAGCCAACGUGGAAUCAAAUCGUUUUCAAUAGUAAGAACAUCUCCAUUCAUAUAAGGUAACUUCAAUGACUCAAUAAAACCUUUUCUUUGCAUGAUUUUUGAUUGGUUAGCAAUAUUACUGUAUAUAUCUGAUGGGUUCAAAUUGGAAGAUACUUGAUAUGACCAAUAAAUCAGGCAUCCAAGAUUCCAAAGAUCAAGACUCUUAGGGUUUCUCGAUACUCUAGCAAAUUUCCAUCCCAUUAUAUUAUAAGCAGUACUUUGUUUUGAAAUAUCAUCCAUAUAAUAACUACUUGUAUCACUCAGAGAUAUAGCGUUUUCAAAUCCACCAAGUUUCCAAGAACCCUCAAAAUUUAAAUAAAUUGUCAAAGGACUAAUAUUCCCAUGCAAAAGUUUUCCAUCAUUGUGCAAGAACUUUAGCCCUUUAAUGAUCUCAUAUAAUCCUGAAAUACAGUCCUUUGGAAAACCUAUUUCAUAUUCUGAUUCCUUUGAAUUAUCAUCAUAUGUAACAAAAGAAUGAUUAAUAUUUACUGAAAGGUUAUAAAGCGACACACAUGGUUCAGUUAUAAUAUAAUAAGAGUUUGGAACUUCUAAAGUGUCAUAUACCUUCAAAAUACAGGGAUGUAUUAGGCUCUUGCAUUUUUGAAAUUGGUUUUUUGCAAGCUUUUUUGCUGUUUCAAAUGGAAUAAACCCAAGUACAUUUUCAUUACCAGAAUUUUGAGUUUUGUCAAAAACAAAAACACUACAAGUUUGCUCUGGUUUAUUCUUCCUGCAGCCUCUAUAAUGGGUCCAAAUACUAUAGUCCUCCCCUUUUACUUUCUCGCCUAUAGUAUAACCAAAGUUACUUGGCAAAUCGUUAAAUAGCUUUGAAAUCAAAGAAGAAAACAUCAAUAUUUACAUCUAACAGAAGCACUUGUUAUUGGAUAAUCGGAAAAUCUUGAAGGUAAUUAACUGGCUCUUUUUAAUUAUUUAUUUUACUCACUAAAUUAAUUAAUUACUUGGAGUUAUUUAAUCAAAGUUACUUUGAAAGUUAAAAAACACAAAAUUUAAAGUUUACCGAUCUCAGAAGCUAAUCAAACCAAUUAAUACCCAAAACAACCAUUGCUCAAUUAUUCCUGCCUUUUUGUUCUUUUGUAAUAUAUUUACUGUAUUAAAAAAUGUAAUAAAAUUGGGCGGGAAAAAUAGAGAUCUAAAAGCAAU